Molecule: unclassified non-coding RNA, 312 nt
Filed under: Hevea brasiliensis (rubber tree)
Lineage: Eukaryota; Viridiplantae; Streptophyta; Magnoliopsida; Malpighiales; Euphorbiaceae
Source: RNAcentral
GUUUCAACAGAAAUCUUUUAACUUUUUCUCUUCUAUCUCUUCUGUUCAUUUCUACUUAUAAUCAAUUUAUUAUUUUUUAAUUCAUUCUUGAGAAAAUUUUAGAAUUACUGUCUAGAAUUCUGUUUUGAAUUUGUUAUCCUAGAGGAAUUUACCCAAAUUACCAAGCAGCAACAUAGUAAGGGGCAUAAUUCUCUUAAGAAGAAGGACUACACGAUUGAAGCAUAUUAGUAUCUUUUCUAACACCUCGAGUACUAUAAAAUUAUCUCUAAUUGAAAAUGCAACAUACGACUUAUAGUCCAUCCAUUAUCAAAA